This 733-nucleotide long non-coding RNA is filed under the name Brassica napus (rape). Its description in RNAcentral is "long non-coding RNA (BNAP_LNC027184)". Lineage: Eukaryota; Viridiplantae; Streptophyta; Magnoliopsida; Brassicales; Brassicaceae. The record is from RNAcentral.
UUUGACAAAGAAAUAGCAUAUUCAAAUGAAGAAAUAAAUAGGCGCACAAACUGAAAUUGACCCAGGAAAAAUGGCUAACGAAGCAAGCGGAGUGGCAACGCAUGACAUGAGCCAUCUAAAAAAAGAAUGUCCGUUUCUAAAAUACUCAUGUUUUCAACCUUUUGUUUGCUUAUAAAUUGAUCACAAACACCACAUAUAGUUGUUUAAACAAAUACACAAUGUUAUUGACAUACCUCGUUGUAUUCGUUCUUCUCUUCAGUGGUUUCACAGCCAACAAAGAGGCAGAUUCUCUGAUUCAAAAAAAUUGCAAGAGUUUGUCAGAUAUUCCAAGCCCGAUGGAUUCAGAAGAAUUCCUUAAGAUUUGCAUCAGAUCUCUUAAAGAGAAUCCAGAGACCAAGAAAGUGAGAAAUAAGAUUGACUUGAUCGUGGUAGCUACGAAUAACGCGAUAUCGAACAUAACAAACAUGAAAAGAAUUGUGGAGAAGUUCAUAAAAGAGAAGAGAUACAAAAGUAGGCUUAUUAAAAAGAAGUUGGAAGUUUGUCUUAACCAUUACCAAGAUGGCUAUGAGUGGCUAACCUCAGGUUUGAAUUACCUCAAAGAGCAGAAUCGUGAUAUGGCUUCCCCUGAUUUGGGGAUGGCUAACAGGGAAGUGGUUGAUUGUGGGGAGAGAUUCAAAAAAGGCGAAAUAAAUCCCUUUAAAAAAGAGAAUGAUGAAGUCCUCUACGUAAUGAC